GGGGAAUAUUGCACAAUGGGGGAAACCCUGAUGCAGCGACGCCGCGUGAGCGAAGAAGUAUCUCGGUAUGUAAAGCUCUAUCAGCAGGGAAGAAAAAAAUGACGGUACCUGACUAAGAANCCCCGGCUAACUACGUGCCAGCAGCCGCGGUAAUACGUAGGGGGCAAGCGUUAUCCGGAUUUACUGGGUGUAAAGGGAGCGUAGACGGCAAGGCAAGUCUGGAGUGAAAGCCCGGGGCCCAACCCCGGGACUGCUCUGGAAACUGUGGUGCUAGAGUGCAGGAGGGGUGGGCGGAAUUCCUAGUGUAGCGGUGAAAUGCGUAGAUAUUAGGAGGAACACCAGCGGCGAAGGCGGCCCACUGGACUGCGACUGACGUUGAGGCUCGAAGGCGUGGGGAGCAAACAGG
This 406-nucleotide ribosomal RNA is filed under the name uncultured bacterium. Its description in RNAcentral is "bacterial SSU rRNA". It matches the Rfam family "Bacterial small subunit ribosomal RNA", at positions 356 to 776 of the family's 1533-position model. The record is from RNAcentral.